UGAAAUCGAAAAAAGAAAAGAGAAAGAGAGGAGUAAAUGGAGGCGGUUGUGUGAGAUUCCCCAUCUGAGAUCGACGGGCACAUGGAGGAUUCGACAAGAGGUUUGAGAUAACUGGGUUGUUGUUGAAUGUCUGAGUUCGAGUUACUGUUGUUCGAUAGAUCGAAGAAAAUGAAAUCGAGAGGAUAGAAAAGGGAGGCUAUGGCGGCACCAUUAUUCUGAGGAAAAGAGAGAUCGAUAGAAGUAAGGAAUUUGAGUGAUGAUGGAGGAGAGAUGUAAUUGCUGCUCAUCAAAGAUUAAGCUCGAUUCGAGAGUUCUAAAUUCAGAGAAGGUGAACUGAUGAAGAACAAAGAUUUCAGUGGAGAAAAGUUAGGGUUUUGUUGAAGACGAUCGAUUUAAGAAUCUGGUGAUGUUAAUGAUUGAUUCAAGGGUUGAUAAAGCUUGGGUGUGUGCUUAAUCUCAAGAAUUUGUGUUGUGUUGAUUUCAAACCCUUGAACUCGGAAGUUAGGAAUUUUGGGAUUUCGGUUGAAAAUGGAAAUUGGGAUUACUGAAGAGCUCAUGGAAGAGACCUGUGCAGUUGUAGUGCAGGUAAUGGAUAAAGAACUCAGGGAGAAGAUGAAACUGGGGAUUACAAGGGUUUCUGAAGCUUAAAUCUCAGUAUGGCAGCUGAAAUGACUAAAAGAACUGGAAGGAGGUUUGAAUGGAUGUGGUGGUGAUAAGAAUGGUCUGGUAGAGUGAUUGAAGGCACUGGUGCUGUCUGAUGGUGGUUAUGAGAAGAAUAAGAAGCUAAUGGGAGAUAUAACUGAAGCUGCAAUUCUGCAAGAUUGAAUGUAUUUGAGCAGAGAUGGAGUAUAUGUAAUUGUUGCUGCUGUUCAGUUCAGUUAAACCUAGAUGGAGCAUUGCAAGAGGCUGAUGAUAUUGCAGUGGUGCUAAUGGGUUAGUGGACUGACUAAGAUGGAGUUGCAGGCAAGUGCAGUUCAAUAAGAAUGAUGCCGGAAUCUGUGAAUGGCAAGGAGUCUGAGAAUGUGAAGCUAGAGAUAAUUGCAGUGUUGAAGUGAAGUUACAGAAUGCAUCGCUAUGCCAUUGGAGAUUUGUGGAAGUGCAGGCUAAGGUGUUGAGCUAGUAAACUGACCUUGUAGAAUGCAGGAGGAAGGGUUAUCAUAGCUGGAGUUAUGGGUAUUUGCAGAAGCAGCUGUAAUAUAUUGGCCUGAGUUUGAGCUGUGAACUCAGGAGGUGGUGAACUGAUGUUGUUGCUGGUGCUAUGUUGGUGGAUUGGAGAUCACUCGGAUUGCAGGAAAAAAUGGUGCCAGAAGCAUGGUGGGUUUGGUUGAUGUUGAGCUGCAGGAGCUGUAGAAAGAGGAGAUUACAAGUUACAUUGUCUUGUUGUGCAGCUGGAAUGAAUUGAAUUGUGCUUGAACUGGUGGAGCUACAACAAAUGGUGGUAGCAGUUGCUGGUAGUGCAGAACAAGGGUAUGGGUCGAGAAGAUGGUUAACUGGAUCAGGUGGUAUGACUGAGAUGGUACUGGAGUGAAUGGUUGUGUUUGCCUGAGAAGGAAUGACUGGAAAUUGGAGGUGCAUUUUUAUGAUGUUGCAGUGCAGGCUUGAGCUGUUGCUAUGGUGAUGUGAUGAGAUGAACUAGGUGGUGACUUGAGUGCAGAGUGCUGCGGCAAAUGGAAGCGACAGAGAAUAAGAAGUGAAGAGGUCUGCUGGUCAGACUUGCAGGGAAUAAGUAAGCUGAAAGAUGGGUUGAUAAUGCAGUUUGUUUACUGUUGGAUUGAAGCUACAACAGAGGAUCUGGUGCAGACUGAGACAGUGAAGCGUCAUCUUGGUGCAAUAUUAGUUAGGCAUGUGCAAAAUGGCCUAGGCCAAAGUGAAUCAGACUGAGCCAGACCUGACUCAUCUGAUUAGCCAUCUGACUCAUUGACUCGGUUUGACUCAGUCACUUUGACUGAGUUGACUCGAUGACCUGACCCGUUUGACCGGUGACCGAGUGGACUUUGCCAGUCACCUGAGAUACUUCUCCGGCCACUUUCCCGGCUAACUUUCGGCGGUGGACACAGUUUUCCGGCGACAUAUUUUUGGGAUAAUUUCUACAUUGGUUUUUCUCACAUAUGGGCUUGGUGGAUUUUUAUCUAAGGGACUUUGAAGACUUCGACCUAAUUUUGGAACAAGAGGAGCUAUAAAGGAGAAGUCUUUCUACAAUUUGGGGGAUCAAGUAUUCUACUUGGAGCUUUGGAGGAGAGCGGCUAUUCUAGUAGGGUUUGCUUAUGUUCAUCUUAUUUUAUUCAAUUAAUAUAUUUGUUAUGAACUCCAUAGCUAUGAGUAGCUAAAUCUUAUAUUAUUGGUUAAGGAUGUAGUCCUAUAUCUACAACUUGUGCUUGAUUAAUGCAUUAGUUUUCUCUCUUGA
This is a long non-coding RNA of Papaver somniferum (opium poppy), 2404 nucleotides long. RefSeq lists it as uncharacterized. The transcript has 2 exons. Lineage: Eukaryota; Viridiplantae; Streptophyta; Magnoliopsida; Ranunculales; Papaveraceae. The record is from RefSeq and is a predicted model, not a curated record.